UUACAUACCACUCAUGUAAUUUGUCUCCGACGGCUGACCACGGAUGUACUGGCAGCCGCCGUUGAGACAGAUCGAGGAAGGUCGGUGCGAAUUUCGCCCGGCCUUUUUUCUU
Molecule: small RNA, 112 nt
Filed under: Rhizobium leguminosarum
Lineage: Bacteria; Pseudomonadati; Pseudomonadota; Alphaproteobacteria; Hyphomicrobiales; Rhizobiaceae
Also listed under: 1 other name
Description: sRNA ar35
Rfam family: Alphaproteobacterial sRNA ar35
Source: RNAcentral